UGAGGUUAGACCCCUCAGACUCCUUACUUUCAAAGGAUCAAAGCUAAUCCGUUGG
RNAcentral lists this transfer RNA (55 nucleotides) under Corucia zebrata. RNAcentral's name for it is "partial tRNA-Ser". The record is from RNAcentral. Lineage: Eukaryota; Metazoa; Chordata; Lepidosauria; Squamata; Scincidae.